RNAcentral lists this ribosomal RNA (524 nucleotides) under uncultured bacterium. RNAcentral's name for it is "partial 16S ribosomal RNA". It matches the Rfam family "Bacterial small subunit ribosomal RNA", at positions 28 to 523 of the family's 1533-position model. The record is from RNAcentral.
GACGAACGCUGGCGGCGUGCCUAAUACAUGCAAGUCGAGCGCAGGAAGCCGACGGAACCCUUCGGGGGGAAGUCGACGGAAUGAGCGGCGGACGGGUGAGUAACACGUAAAGAACCUGCCCUCAGGUCUGGGAUAACCACGAGAAAGCGGGGCUAAUACCGGAUGGGUCAUCGGACCGCAUGGUCCGAGGAUGAAGGGCCAGCCGGCGUAGCCUGGGGAUGGCUUUGCGGUGCAUUAGCUAGUUGGUGGGGUAAUGGCCCACCAAGGCGACGAUGCAUAGCCGACCUGAGAGGGUGAUCGGCCACACUGGGACUGAGACACGGCCCAGACUCCUACGGGAGGCAGCAGUAGGGAAUCUUCCACAAUGGACGAAAGUCUGAUGGAGCAACGCCGCGUGAACGAUGAAGGCCUUCGGGUCGUAAAGUUCUGUUGUAAGGGAAGAACAAGUGCCGCAGGCAAUGGCGGCACCUUGACGGUACCUUGCGAGAAAGCCACGGCUAACUACGUGCCAGCAGCCGCGGUAA